GAAACGCGAAAGGUAAUGCGAAUUGCAGAAUCAGUGAGUCAUCGAAUCUUUGAACGCACAUUGCGCCUCUCGGUAUUCCGGGAGGCACGCCUGUUCGAGCGCCAUUACAAACUCCAAGUGUGGCUUGAUGUUGGGCGAUGUCUUUUUGCGAGAGCGGAGACACGCCUGGAACGCGUUGGCGCCGCCGCCGGACCACGAGCGUAGCAAGACGAGAGUCAAUCGCAUCGAUUUGGAUUCCGACGGAGGUCCGCCAUGGGACUGCACUUUCGAGUGUAAGUUCACAACUUCUCUCAAGUUUGGCCUCGGAUCAGGCGGGGAUACCCGCUGAACUUAAGC
This 336-nucleotide unclassified non-coding RNA is filed under the name plant metagenome. Its description in RNAcentral is "partial contains 5.8S ribosomal RNA, internal transcribed spacer 2, and large subunit ribosomal RNA". The stretch from base 1 to 104 matches the Rfam family "5.8S ribosomal RNA", at positions 50 to 154 of the family's 154-position model. The record is from RNAcentral.